RNAcentral lists this ribosomal RNA (167 nucleotides) under uncultured bacterium. Its description in RNAcentral is "partial 16S rRNA". It matches the Rfam family "Bacterial small subunit ribosomal RNA", at positions 355 to 511 of the family's 1533-position model. The record is from RNAcentral.
UAGGGAAUCUUCCACAAUGGACGGAAAGUACGUGAUGGAGCAACGCCGCGUGAGUGAAGAAGGGUUUCGGCUCGUAAAACUCUGUUGUUAAAGAAGAACAUAUCUGAGAGUAACUGUUCAGGUAUUGACGGUAUUUAACCAGAAAGCCACGGCUAACUACGUGCCAG